This 838-nucleotide ribosomal RNA is filed under the name uncultured Bacteroidota bacterium. RNAcentral describes it as "bacterial SSU rRNA". It matches the Rfam family "Bacterial small subunit ribosomal RNA", at positions 39 to 878 of the family's 1533-position model. Lineage: Bacteria; Pseudomonadati; Bacteroidota. The record is from RNAcentral.
GCGGCGGCUUAACACAUGCAAGUCGAGGGGUAACAGGGGAGCUUGCUUCCGCUGACGACCGGCGCACGGGUGCGUAACGCGUAUAGAACCUACCUUUUACAGAGGGAUAGCCUUUAGAAAUGAAGAUUAAUACCUUAUGGUAUUAUAGAUUCGCAUGAAUUUAUAAUUAAAGAUUUAUCGGUAAAAGAUGGCUAUGCGUCCUAUUAGCUAGAUGGUAAGGUAACGGCUUACCAUGGCGACGAUAGGUAGGGGUCCUGAGAGGGAGAUCCCCCACACUGGUACUGAGACACGGACCAGACUCCUACGGGAGGCAGCAGUGAGGAAUAUUGGGCAAUGGAGGCAACUCUGACCCAGCCAUGCCGCGUGCAGGAAGACGGCCCUAUGGGUUGUAAACUGCUUCUAUACAGGAAGAAACACUCGUACGUGUACGAGCUUGACGGUACUGUAAGAAUAAGGACCGGCUAACUCCGUGCCAGCAGCCGCGGUAAUACGGAGGGUCCGAGCGUUAUCCGGAAUCAUUGGGUUUAAAGGGUCCGCAGGCGGUCAAUUAAGUCAGAGGUGAAAUCCCAUAGCUUAACUAUGGAACUGCCUUUGAUACUGGUUGACUUGAGUCAUAUGGAAGUAGAUAGAAUGUGUAGUGUAGCGGUGAAAUGCAUAGAUAUUACACAGAAUACCGAUUGCGAAGGCAGUCUACUACGUAUGUACUGACGCUGAGGGACGAAAGCGUGGGGAGCGAACAGGAUUAGAUACCCUGGUAGUCCACGCCGUAAACGAUGGAUACUAGUUGUUGGGCAUUAGCUCAGUGACUAAGCGAAAGUGAUAAGUAUCCCACCUGGGG